UUGCGUUAGGGAUUGAAGUGGCAUCUUUUUCUAUUUUUACUCAUGUUUGCUAAAAUGAAAAUAAUAUUUAGAAAUAGAAAAAAUAUAGCGUAAAGCCCGACCAUUU
RNAcentral lists this small RNA (106 nucleotides) under Maribacter orientalis. RNAcentral's name for it is "Flavo-1 RNA". It matches the Rfam family "Flavo-1 RNA". Lineage: Bacteria; Pseudomonadati; Bacteroidota; Flavobacteriia; Flavobacteriales; Flavobacteriaceae. The record is from RNAcentral.